GACGAACGCUGGCGGCGUGCCUAAUACAUGCAAGUCGAGCGGACCAACCAGGAGCUUGCUCUUGUUUGGUUAGCGGCGGACGGGUGAGUAACACGUGGGUAACCUGCCCGUAAGACCGGGAUAACUCCGGGAAACCGGAGCUAAUACCGGAUAACACCGAAGACCGCAUGGUCUUUGGUUGAAAGGCGGCUUCGGCUGCCACUUACGGAUGGGCCCGCGGCGCAUUAGCUAGUUGGGGAGGUAACGGCUCACCAAGGCGACGAUGCGUAGCCGGACGGGGAGGGUGACCGGCCACACUGGGACUGAGACACGGCCCAGACUCCUACGGGAGGCAGCAGUAGGGAAUCUUCCGCAAUGGACGAAAGUCUGACGGAGCGACGCCGCGUGAGCGAAGAAGGUCUUCGGAUCGUAAAGCUCUGUUGUUAGGGAAGAAGAAGCGCCGUUCGAACAGGGCGGCGCGGUGACGGUACCUAACGAGAAAGCCCCGGCUAACUACGUG
Molecule: ribosomal RNA, 499 nt
Filed under: uncultured bacterium
Lineage: Bacteria
Description: partial 16S ribosomal RNA
Rfam family: Bacterial small subunit ribosomal RNA
Source: RNAcentral